This 464-nucleotide ribosomal RNA is filed under the name uncultured Desulfobacterium sp. RNAcentral's name for it is "bacterial SSU rRNA". It matches the Rfam family "Bacterial small subunit ribosomal RNA", at positions 919 to 1382 of the family's 1533-position model. Lineage: Bacteria; Pseudomonadati; Thermodesulfobacteriota; Desulfobacteria; Desulfobacterales; Desulfobacteriaceae. The record is from RNAcentral.
ACCCGCACAAGCAGCGGAGCGUGUGGUUUAAUUCGUUGCUACACGAAGAACCUUACCUGGGCUUGACAUCUGCGGAAUUUCUACGAAAGUAGGAAGUGCCCUUCGGGGAGCCGCAAGACAGGUGCUGCAUGGCUGUCGUCAGCUCGUGUCGUGAGAUGUUGGGUUAAGUCCCGCAACGAGCGCAACCCUUAUCUUUAGUUACCAUCAUUCAGUUGGGGACUCUAAAGACACUGCCCCGGUCAACGGGGAGGAAGGUGGGGAUGACGUCAAGUCCUCAUGGCCCUUACGACCAGGGCUACACACGUGCUACAAUGGCGCAUACAAAGAGAAGCGACCUCGCGAGAGCAAGCGGACCUCAUAAAGUGCGUCGUAGUCCGGAUUGGAGUCCGCAACUCGACUCCAUGAAGUCGGAAUCGCUAGUAAUCGUGGAUCAGAAUGCCACGGUGAAUACGUUCCCGGGCCUU